This is a non-coding RNA of Misgurnus anguillicaudatus (oriental weatherfish), 1173 nucleotides long. Lineage: Eukaryota; Metazoa; Chordata; Actinopteri; Cypriniformes; Cobitidae. The record is from RefSeq and is a predicted model, not a curated record.
GGGUGCACCGAAAUUUCGGUCGCCGAAAAUUUCGGCCGAAAAUGGCAUUAUCGGUUUCGGGCCGAAAUAAAAAAAUCCAGCCGAAAAUGUAAACCGAAAAUGAAUGUCAACCGCGCCCCUUUCAUCUGUGCGCUAGCGCUUGGGUUUCACUCAGCCUCACGGUGAUCAGUCGUCACACACCCCUCCCCUUCGUGCUCAAGCAGGUUUCACUCAGGGUCCAGCUGUUUGCACGCGUCUGCAAAGAUUAAGAAUGUCUUGAUGUGUAAACUUUAGAGAGAGUCGCGCUAUGUGUCUCUUACUGUAAUCCAUUAACGUACAUUUGGCGAAUAAAGCAAUGAAACACAACGUAACGUUUUUAUGUGGAGCGACUGUUGCGCUGUUUGGGAUUCACCAUCAGUCUCUGUAUAUGCAUGCGUUUAAGUGCCCUUAAAGCCGAAAGUAUACUAGGGACGUCCGCGUAUGCGCGCCAUCAUUUUCCCCAAAAUUUGAGACCGCACGGACAGUGCGCGUACAGUCCGCGUACAACAUCGCAUGCGCGUGAAAAUAUUUAGACAGGACACUCCACUACAAACAAUUAUACAAAGGAAAUAGACAGCAUCUGCAUUUGCACACAUACUAUCGUUUUUCUUCUUUAAUUUUAUUUCAUCCAUAAACAGAAAGCUGUGGAGCAUGUUUGUUACCAUAUUGUUUGAUUCCUGUUCUUUGUUGUCUUCUUGUUUGUUCUAAACUGUGUUUGCAAUGGUGGAUCGGUUUCUUUUCUUCACCUAUCCUAAUGUUUUAAUGUACUGUAAAUGUCUCCAAAUCAGUGCUGCACUAGAGUAAUAAUUUGAAUAGAGACGCGUUUAAAAAAAAACAAGCAAACAUAAAUUCUCUCUGUUAUUGACAGGGCACAUAUAAACAAAAUUCUCACAGUAUUCUUUUUCUAAUAAAAACAUUUAUGUCUGUAUAGAUUACAGUCAGAUUAACCUACUGAAGUCUGUGUCAUUAAUGUUGAUCAAACAACCCAUGACAAAGAGACAAAUAGCUCUAAAAAAUAAUAAUAUAUUUAAUUUAUUGUGUUAUGAUUAAUUUAAUUUGAUUUCUGUACCUAAUGCUAAUUUCAGACCUUAUUAAUGUACAACUUUGUUCUCUUUUAUAAAUGUUUGCAAUUUCUUUAUUGUUUAUUAGAUUUUU